RNAcentral lists this ribosomal RNA (963 nucleotides) under human gut metagenome. RNAcentral's name for it is "bacterial SSU rRNA". It matches the Rfam family "Bacterial small subunit ribosomal RNA", at positions 248 to 1214 of the family's 1533-position model. The record is from RNAcentral.
GUAGGCGGGGUAACGGCCCACCUAGUCUUCGAUGGAUAGGGGUUCUGAGAGGAAGGUCCCCCACAUUGGAACUGAGACACGGUCCAAACUCCUACGGGAGGCAGCAGUGAGGAAUAUUGGUCAAUGGACGAGAGUCUGAACCAGCCAAGUAGCGUGAAGGAUGACUGCCCUAUGGGUUGUAAACUUCUUUUAUAAAGGAAUAAAGUCGGGUAUGGAUACCCGUUUGCAUGUACUUUAUGAAUAAGGAUCGGCUAACUCCGUGCCAGCAGCCGCGGUAAUACGGAGGAUCCGAGCGUUAUCCGGAUUUAUUGGGUUUAAAGGGAGCGUAGAUGGAUGUUUAAGUCAGUUGUGAAAGUUUGCGGCUCAACCGUAAAAUUGCAGUUGAUACUGGAUAUCUUGAGUGCAGUUGAGGCAGGCGGAAUUCGUGGUGUAGCGGUGAAAUGCUUAGAUAUCACGAAGAACUCCGAUUGCGAAGGCAGCUUACUAACCUGUAACUGACAUUGAUGCUCGAAAGUGUGGGUAUCAAACAGGAUUAGAUACCCUGGUAGUCCACACGGUAAACGAUGAAUACUCGCUGUUUGCGAUAUACAGCAAGCGGCCAAGCGAAAGCGUUAAGUAUUCCACCUGGGGAGUACGCCGGCAACGGUGAAACUCAAAGGAAUUGACGGGGGCCCGCACAAGCGGAGGAACAUGUGGUUUAAUUCGAUGAUACGCGAGGAACCUUACCCGGGCUUAAAUUGCAGAUGAAUUACGGUGAAAGCCGUAAGCCGCAAGGCAUCUGUGAAGGUGCUGCAUGGUUGUCGUCAGCUCGUGCCGUGAGGUGUCGGCUUAAGUGCCAUAACGAGCGCAACCCUUGUUGUCAGUUACUAACAGGUUCCGCUGAGGACUCUGACAAGACUGCCAUCGUAAGAUGUGAGGAAGGUGGGGAUGACGUCAAAUCAGCACGGCCCUUACGUCCGGGGC